UACGUAGGGCGCAAGCGUUGUCCGGAAUUAUUGGGCGUAAAGGGCGCGUAGGCGGUGCGGCAAGUCUCCUGUGAAAUCUCUGGGCUCAACUCAGAGUCUGCAGGAGAAACUGCCGUGCUUGAGUGUGGGAGAGGUGAGUGGAAUUCCCGGUGUAGCGGUGAAAAUGCGUAGAUAUCGGGAGGAACACCUGUGGCGAAAGCGGCUCACUGGACCACAACUGACGCUGAGGCGCGAAAGCUAGGGGGAGCAAACAGG
Molecule: ribosomal RNA, 255 nt
Filed under: uncultured bacterium
Lineage: Bacteria
Description: partial 16S ribosomal RNA
Rfam family: Bacterial small subunit ribosomal RNA
Source: RNAcentral